RNAcentral lists this ribosomal RNA (396 nucleotides) under uncultured bacterium. Its description in RNAcentral is "partial 16S ribosomal RNA". It matches the Rfam family "Bacterial small subunit ribosomal RNA", at positions 523 to 918 of the family's 1533-position model. The record is from RNAcentral.
AUACGUAGGGGGCGAGCGUUGUCCGGAAUGAUUGGGCGUAAAGGGCGCGUAGGCGGCGCGGUAAGUCUGGAGUGAAAGUCCUGCUUUCAAGGGGGGAAUUGCUUUGGAUACUGCCGCGCUUGAGUGCAGGAGAGGUUAUCGGAAUUCCCGGUGUAGCGGUGAAAUGCGUAGAGAUCGGGAGGAACACCAGUGGCGAAGGCGGGUAACUGGACUACAACUGACGCUGAGGCGCGAAAGUGUGGGAGCAAACAGGAUUAGAUACCCUGGUAGUCCACACUGUAAACGAUGAAUGCUAGGUGUAGGGGGUAUCGACCCCUUCUGUGCCGCAGUCAACACAAUAAGCAUUCCGCCUGGGGAGUACGGCCGCAAGGUUGAAACUUAAAGGAAUUGACGGGG